UGCGGGGUGGAGCAGCCUGGUAGCUCGUCGGGCUCAUAACCCGAAGGCCGCUGGUUCAAAUCCAGCCCCCGCUACCA
Molecule: transfer RNA, 77 nt
Filed under: Desulfatirhabdium butyrativorans
Lineage: Bacteria; Pseudomonadati; Thermodesulfobacteriota; Desulfobacteria; Desulfobacterales; Desulfatirhabdiaceae
Also listed under: 2 other names
Description: tRNA-Met
Rfam family: tRNA
About the family: Transfer RNA (tRNA) molecules are approximately 80 nucleotides in length. Their secondary structure includes four short double-helical elements and three loops (D, anti-codon, and T loops).
Source: RNAcentral